UAGGGAAUCUUCCACAAUGGGCGAAAGCCUGAUGGAGCAACGCCGCGUGGGUGAAGAAGGUCUUCGGAUCGUAAAACCCUGUUGUUAGAGAAGAAAGUGCGUGAGAGUAACUGUUCACGUUUUGACGGUAUCUAACCAGAAAGCCACGGCUAACUACGUGCCAGCAGCCGCGGUAAAACGUAGGUGGCAAGCGUUAUCCGGAUUUAUUGGGCGUAAAGGGAACGCAGGCGGUCUUUUAAGUCUGAUGUGAAAGCCUUCGGCUUAACCGGAGUAGUGCAUUGGAAACUGGGAGAAUUGAGUGCAGAAGAGGAGGGUGGAACUCCAUGUGUAGCGGUGAAAUGCGUAGAUAUAUGGAAGAGCACCAGUGGCGAAAGCGGCACUCUGGUCUGUAACUGACGCUGAGGUUCGAAAGCGUGGGUAGCAAACAGG
Molecule: ribosomal RNA, 429 nt
Filed under: bacterium
Lineage: Bacteria
Description: partial 16S ribosomal RNA
Rfam family: Bacterial small subunit ribosomal RNA
Source: RNAcentral